This 261-nucleotide ribosomal RNA is filed under the name uncultured archaeon. Its description in RNAcentral is "partial 16S ribosomal RNA". It matches the Rfam family "Archaeal small subunit ribosomal RNA", at positions 748 to 1008 of the family's 1478-position model. The record is from RNAcentral.
CAGCCGUAAACAAUGUGCGUUAGGUAUGUCGGUAACCACGUGUUACUGAUGUGCCGAAGAGAAAUCGUGAAACGCACCACCUGGGAAGUACGGUCGCAAGGAUGAAACUUAAAGGAAUUGGCGGGGGGAGCACCGCAACGGGAGGAGCGUGCGGUUUAAUUGGAUUCAACACCGUAAAACUCACCAGGGAAGACUGUUACAUGAAGGCCGAGAUGAAGACUCUGCUAGAUUUCAGAGAGGAGGUGCAUGGCGUCAGUGACU